Zingiber officinale is the source of this 315-nucleotide long non-coding RNA. RefSeq lists it as uncharacterized. The record is from RefSeq and is a predicted model, not a curated record. NCBI's taxonomy places the organism in Eukaryota, Viridiplantae, Streptophyta, Magnoliopsida, Zingiberales, Zingiberaceae. The transcript has 3 exons.
GUUGAGGGUUUGAUUUUAUGCUCAGUUAUGGAAGCGUUGAUUUUGAUCUAGGGGUGUUGGGUUGCAGAUUGUUAGUUGUGGCAAUUCUUAUGGGGUCGAGGAUUUCUGUUAGAGUUCGUACAAGUCAUCUUUUCCGGCAGCAACCUUCUACAGCAGCGUAUCAUCAGCUGAGGAUUUAAAGGAGGUGCAGCGGGUUUACUUUGGUUUUGGCUGAGUUUCCAGCAGCAUACAGUUUCAUCUAUUCAAUUGUGGGUCAACAGAAAUUCAUCUGGUUUUAGGAUGUUGAUUCGGGACGAGCACUUCGACAUAGAGGUU